RNAcentral lists this ribosomal RNA (253 nucleotides) under uncultured bacterium. Its description in RNAcentral is "partial 16S ribosomal RNA". It matches the Rfam family "Bacterial small subunit ribosomal RNA", at positions 524 to 776 of the family's 1533-position model. The record is from RNAcentral.
UACGAAGGGGGCUAGCGUUGUUCGGAAUUACUGGGCGUAAAGCGCGCGCAGGCGGUCUUCCAAGUCAGUGGUGAAAGCCCGGAGCUCAACUCCGGAACUGCCAUUGAAACUGUGAGACUUGAGGAUGAGAGAGGUGAGUGGAAUUCCCAGUGUAGAGGUGAAAUUCGUAGAUAUUGGGAAGAACACCGGUGGCGAAGGCGGCUCACUGGACCAUAACUGACGCUGAUGCACGAAAGCUAGGGGAGCAAACAGG